GAUGAAGCACGUAGCGAAAUGCGAUAAGUAGUGUGAAUUGCAGAAUUCAGUGAAUCAUCGAAUCUUUGAACGCACAUUGCGCCCUUUGGUAUUCCAAAGGGCAUGCCUGUUCGAGCGUCAUUUGUACCCUCAAGCUUUGCUUGGUGUUGGGCGUCUUGUCUCUAGCUUUGCUGGAGACUCGCCUUAAAGUAAUUGGCAGCCGGCCUACUGGUUUCGGAGCGCAGCACAAGUCGCACUCUCUAUCAGCAAAGGUCUAGCAUCCAUUAAGCCUUUUUUUCAACUUUUGACCUCGGAUCAGGUAGGGAUACCCGCUGAACUUAAGCAUAUCAAUAAGCGGAGGA
This 341-nucleotide unclassified non-coding RNA is filed under the name soil metagenome. RNAcentral describes it as "partial contains 5.8S ribosomal RNA, internal transcribed spacer 2, and large subunit ribosomal RNA". The stretch from base 1 to 120 matches the Rfam family "5.8S ribosomal RNA", at positions 35 to 154 of the family's 154-position model. The record is from RNAcentral.